Long non-coding RNA from Acipenser ruthenus (sterlet), 1321 nucleotides. RefSeq lists it as uncharacterized. The record is from RefSeq and is a predicted model, not a curated record. Lineage: Eukaryota; Metazoa; Chordata; Actinopteri; Acipenseriformes; Acipenseridae. The transcript has 2 exons.
GCAGAUUGAAGCAGACGGUGGAGGGAUUUGUCGUUUGAAAGUUUUGAGAAUGGAACAUCAAUAUGGUGCAUUUAUUGUGCUACUGUUUUGCUUAAUCAUAGAAAUGACUCAAGCAGACUCAGUGACUCAACAUUUCAAAUCCAUAGUCGUUAAAGAAACACACAACAGCACGAUACAGUGCCAGUAUGAGACAGCAAGCUCCCCGACUCUCUUCUGGUAUAUCCAGGAUCCCAGUCAAGCUCCUCAACUCAUCCUCGGCAAAUUUACGCAAAAUGACAACAUUCCAUUGAGGUUUCAAAAUCGUUUCUCGGUAUCUCAUGACAAGAAGAACGAGAACAAGACCUUUCAUCUGAAUAUCAUUGCGGUUGUGCUGUCUGACUCUGCCACGUACUUCUGUGCUCUGAGUCCCACACUGUGAGAGUCUCUAUAUCACUUCAUACAAAAACCUCCUGCUGCCUGCCGAGUGGUGAAGAUGGCAGUGCAGCCUGUGUUCUGUGUAGAAGCUACUCAGUCAUUCUUCUUAAUUACCCCCCUGCACCCUCUUACGGUCUGGUAGUGAAAUACUGAUACAUAUUACAACAUGUAGGGGAGACCGGGGUUGGUCGUCACACGGGUUGGUUGUCUCAGUGCUCAUAACUAUGACACCAGAUGGUGCAGGCAGGUGAUACUAACACUGAAAUGUGUGUUCUAUUGUCUGGAACUUAACCAUAUUGUAAUUUGAGGUUAAUUCAAUCUAACAUAAAGGUUAGCACAUAUUUUAUUUUUUUCAUACCCAAAGUAAAAAAUAUAUAUAUAUCUUGUUAUUUAUGUUAUAACUCUUAGUAGUAUUGGAGUUUGUUUGAACUGAUGGCCAUGUUAAUAGAACCAGAUACUGGCUAUCUUUUGAUGUAAAAACAAAACCAGUAGGUUCUCCCAGAAGUACUGAGAGAAUUAAAUUGUCAUGUAAAGUCUGGUUGGGGCAGGUUGUCUCAUAGUUUUUGGGGUUGGUUGUCACAUGUAAAUCCUAUAGGAAGAAGUCUUAUAUUUUUUCUUUCUACUUUUUUUACACCAACAUGUGGGAUAUGUCACCAUAUGAUGCUUAUUUAAGUUAUUCACUGUUUGUUCUCCGGUUCUGUGGAGGCUGUGGUAUUAUUUUGUAGCAUGGAUCAACAUUUCAAAUAUAUAUGGGUCUAUAUUUUUUAUGUUCACAUAAAAAGUAAAAAUACAACUUUUUCUGUCAUUGUACACAGAAGAAACUUUAUGUUACUUAAAAAAAAAAAAGUUGCAUUAUUUUCUACUGUAAAACCAAGAACAUACUUUCCAUAUCGUGUGACACCCAACC